This 253-nucleotide ribosomal RNA is filed under the name uncultured bacterium. RNAcentral describes it as "partial 16S ribosomal RNA". It matches the Rfam family "Bacterial small subunit ribosomal RNA", at positions 524 to 776 of the family's 1533-position model. The record is from RNAcentral.
UACGGGGGGGGCAAGCGUUGUUCGGAAUUACUGGGCGUAAAGGGCUCGUAGGCGGCCAACUAAGUCAUACGUGAAAUCCCUCGGCUUAACCGGGGAACUGCGUCUGAUACUGGAUGGCUUGAGUUCGGGAGAGGGAUGCGGGAUUCCAGGUGUAGCGGUGAAAUGCGUAGAUAUCUGGAGGAACACCGGUGGCGAAGGCGGCAUCCUGGACCAACACUGACGCUGAGGAGCGAAAGCCAGGGGAGCAAACGGG